GACGAACGCUGGCGGCGUGCUUAACACAUGCAAGUCGAACGGAAAGGCCCUGCUUUUGUGGGGUGCUCGAGUGGCGAACGGGUGAGUAACACGUGAGUAACCUGCCCUUGACUUUGGGAUAACUUCAGGAAACUGGGGCUAAUACCGGAUAGGAGCUCCUGCUGCAUGGUGGGGGUUGGAAAGUUUCGGCGGUUGGGGAUGGACUCGCGGCUUAUCAGCUUGUUGGUGGGGUAGUGGCUUACCAAGGCUUUGACGGGUAGCCGGCCUGAGAGGGUGACCGGCCACAUUGGGACUGAGAUACGGGCCAGACUCCUACGGGAGGCAGCAGUGGGGAAUAUUGCACGAUGGGCGGAAGCCUGAUGCAGCAACGCCGCGUGCGGGAUGACGGCCUUCGGGUUGUAAACCGCUUUCGCCUGUGACGAAGCGUGAGUGACGGUAAUGGGUAAAGAAGCACCGGCUAACUACGUG
RNAcentral lists this ribosomal RNA (468 nucleotides) under uncultured bacterium. Its description in RNAcentral is "partial 16S ribosomal RNA". It matches the Rfam family "Bacterial small subunit ribosomal RNA", at positions 28 to 507 of the family's 1533-position model. The record is from RNAcentral.